Long non-coding RNA from Aricia agestis (brown argus), 598 nucleotides. RefSeq lists it as uncharacterized. The record is from RefSeq and is a predicted model, not a curated record. NCBI's taxonomy places the organism in Eukaryota, Metazoa, Arthropoda, Insecta, Lepidoptera, Lycaenidae. The transcript has 3 exons.
UAAAACGGACAAACAUACGCACAUACGUAUCAACUCGCGCUUGAUAACUUUUACACAUUUUUGAUGACAAAGACCUUUUUCCAACAUAAAAGGCGAUGCACGUUGGAACAAGUCACAAUUUUUCAAGUGGCUUCGCACCAGUCUUCAAUUUCAACGAGAAAUAAAAGAAUAUAAAAUGUCAGUCCGAUUCAGAGUUUGAGGCCCCAUCUGUGGUGUCGGUAGCACCGAAAAAGAAGUCAAAGGCGUCAAGCAGCAAACGCAAGGCCGGCCCCGAAAAGCAACGCGACUCAUCGCCUCCGCUGGAGUUGACCCGCACCUCAUCAGACAAAAGUGCUCAACGAAAGCGAAAAUACUCCUCGCCGCACGAAGUUAUAACUACACGAACAAGGAGACCGGACUUAUUCAAUAUCUUGCGGGCUGAGGAAGCUAGUUGCAGUGAACCCAAAUCUCGUGGCGGGGAAAUAAUAUCAAGCUUCUCCAGCCGAGUUUCUACGGGAACGUCUCGUCGGACUGCGAAGACCGGUGGCGAAUAUUUUGUGGACCUCAAGAUCUACAAAAAAUCGGACUACGUGUCUCACGCUGCUAAUGUGCGAUACAA